CACCGACACCGCCUGCGUCCCUCCUCACGCUGACGCCACUGAUGGGCGGCGCCCUCUAUCUCGGGGAUGUGUCUCCGCUUCGGAUGGGCGGCACCAUGGCAUUUCGGCGGCUUCUCCCCGGAGACGUCUCUGGACACUUCCCCCGUGUUUGGUCACUGUGAGACGCAGGGAAAAGCCCAGGGGUACCAUCAUGUAUACGAAGGGGGUCGACAAGGGUGUUCAGGCAUAACUCAGUGCUUGGAUUGUCCAUUUCAGCUGCUGAAGGCCUUGUGCUGCACAAUUCAAGCCCAAGUUCAUCUGUAUUAUGUUCUGCACAUACGGAGCCACCGACAUUUACCAGGUUUUCUGAUGGGGGGCGAUGCCAAGGCUAAUAGGUUGGCUAACCCUGUAUGGGUGGCACCUCAGUCUGGCAGGAUUGCACAAGCCAUGACCUUUUCCUUCUGAAUGCAUGCACUCUGCGAAGGCAAUUUCCUUUAAUUGCAGCCAAGGCUCGUGACAUUGUCAAAUUUUGGAUUGACGGUCGUGGUCUUGCAGCAUUUUUGCCAGUGGGGGUGGACCCUAGAGGUCUUACGGCCCUGCUGCGUUGGCAACCAGAUGCUACAUCACUGCAAUUGGCAAAUUCAGGUACAUGCGUGUGUCUAUUGCUACCUUUUUCUCCACCAUAUGGGUAUCUGCUCAUAUUGGAGAGAAGGGUUGCGGUGUGACUGCCCAUUGAAGGAUGGCUUUUUGUGAUUUUGGGCAUGCCUUCUGCUGUGAAAACCGACAAUGGCCCUGCUUAUGUCUUUCAAAAGACAAAGCAGUUUUUACAGAUGUGGAGAGUCUCACACAAACUUGGCACUCCACAUUCUCCGACAGGUCGAGCCAUUGCUUUAUGUGUUUUGGGUCUUCUGAAGCAUGUUUUGGACAGACAGAGAAGGGGAAUGGCUGGUGAAACACCACACAGCUGAUUUGAAAAGGCUUUGUGUGCCAUCAAUCACCUUACAGUGCCACAAGAUUCCAAUAAUCCUGUUGUUGUGAGUCACUUUGCCUCAUUACAGGCUCUGGACAGCACACCUGCCUCGAGCAAAGGCUCUGGUAUGUGACCUGACCAUGGACAAAUGGGAGGGCCCACAUGGACUUAUCGUUUGGGGCCACGGGAACGCUUGUGUUUCAAUGGAUACUGGAAUAUGCUGGCUGCCUGCAAGGUGUGUCUGCCUUGACCUGCUACAGCAGAAGCAGAAUGUGGCCAGUGCACAACCUUCAAGUGCUGAUCACCAACCAGAUCCCUGUCUGAGCUGUCUGGAAAUUCUUCCUGUCUGAACUGUUCUGAUAUUCAAGAGCUGUAUUCUGGUUUAGAUAGAUUUCAUUAAUGUAUUAGAUAUGGUAAGAUGUAUGAAAAAGAUAUUAUAGAGAUUUUAGUUUUAUGGUAGAUUUCACUAUUGUAUUAGAAAUAAUAUUUUGCAGUCUCUUGCAAGAAAGAGCAGCAGGUGCGAAAAUUUUAUGAAUAUUUGAGGUAUCUUCAAGUCUCUUGAGUGGUGUCCUCCCUUGCACGGGGCUCUGCAGGGGACUACAAACACUUCUCUUUUUUCCUUUUUUUAAAUAAAGAAGCGGGACUUGUGGAGGCACAUUAACCUGUCGGAAAGCUGUGUGAGAACACGGGGCUUUCCCAAGGGCUGGCCUAGGGGCAAAGGUUUUCCCAGGAACAAAGGCAUAUGCUACUGUUUA
Molecule: non-coding RNA, 1704 nt
Organism: Sturnus vulgaris (Common starling)
Lineage: Eukaryota; Metazoa; Chordata; Aves; Passeriformes; Sturnidae
Source: RefSeq, a predicted model, not a curated record